This 498-nucleotide ribosomal RNA is filed under the name uncultured bacterium. RNAcentral's name for it is "bacterial SSU rRNA". It matches the Rfam family "Bacterial small subunit ribosomal RNA", at positions 8 to 518 of the family's 1533-position model. The record is from RNAcentral.
AGAGUUUGAUUCUGGCUCAGGAUGAACGCUGGCGGCGUGCUUAAUACAUGCAAGUCGAACGAAGAGCCUUGUAGCAAUACGGAGGUUCUUAGUGGCGAACGGGUGCGUAACGCAUUGGUGACCUGCCCUGAAAUGUGGGAUAACAGUUCGAAAGGACUGCUAAUACCGCAUGUGAUCAUCGGGUUUAGAAGCUGAUGAUUAAAGGAGUAAUCCGCUUUAGGAGGGACCUGCGUCCCAUCAGCUAGUUGGUGAGGUAACGGCCCACCAAGGCUACGACGGUAGGGGACCUGAGAGGGUGGUCCCCCACACUGGCACUGAAACACGGGCCAGACACCUACGGGUGGCAGCAGUAGGGAAUAUUGGGCAAUGGGCGAAAGCCUGACCCAGCAACGCCGCCGUGCACGAUGAAGGUCUUCGGAUCGUAAAGUGCUUUUCUGAGAGAUGAGAAAGGACAGUAUCUCAGGAAUAAGUCUCGGCUAACUACGUGCCAGCAGCGGC